This 198-nucleotide ribosomal RNA is filed under the name uncultured bacterium. Its description in RNAcentral is "partial 16S ribosomal RNA". It matches the Rfam family "Bacterial small subunit ribosomal RNA", at positions 328 to 539 of the family's 1533-position model. The record is from RNAcentral.
ACGCUCGACACCUACGGGAGGCGGCAGUGGGGAAUAUUGCACAAUGGGGGAAACCCUGAUGCAGCGACGCCGCGUGAAGGAAGAAGUAUUUCGGUAUGUAAACUUCUAUCAGCAGGGAAGAAACUGACGGUACCUGACUAAGAAGCACCGGCUAAAUACGUGUCAGCAGCCGCGGUAAUCUGAGCGGGCUGGCAAGGC